AACGUCGUGAGACAGUUCGGUCCCUAUCUGCCGUGGGCGCUGGAGAAUUGAGGGGGGCUGCUCCUAGUACGAGAGGACCGGAGUGGACGCAUCACUGGUGUUCGGGUUGUCAUGCCAAUGGCACUGCCCGGUAGCUAAAUGCGGAAGAGAUAAGUGCUGAAAGCAUCUAAGCACGAAACUUGCCCCGAGAUGAGUUCUCCCUGAGACUUUAAGUCUCCUGAAGGAACGUUAAAGACGAUGACGUUGAUAGGCCGGGUGUGUAAGCGCAGCGAUGCGUUGAGCUAACCGGUACUAAUGAACCGUGAGGCUUAACCUUACAACGCCGAAG
Molecule: ribosomal RNA, 328 nt
Filed under: Klebsiella pneumoniae
Lineage: Bacteria; Pseudomonadati; Pseudomonadota; Gammaproteobacteria; Enterobacterales; Enterobacteriaceae
Description: partial 23S ribosomal RNA
Rfam family: Bacterial large subunit ribosomal RNA
Source: RNAcentral